Molecule: long non-coding RNA, 620 nt
Organism: Hibiscus syriacus
Lineage: Eukaryota; Viridiplantae; Streptophyta; Magnoliopsida; Malvales; Malvaceae
Exons: 3
Source: RefSeq, a predicted model, not a curated record
CCGUCUUAGGGGUUGGUUUGGCUUCUUGGUUCUCUGUUUUGGUGUUUAGACGAGGGAAGGAGGUCGCUUGGUUCUCGAAGCUAGUUCACUUCUUCGGUCUCAAAGAUUACUGGUUUAGCUUUUAGGCCAUAGCAUAACAAGGGAUAAGAGAUGAACUUCACAAGGAGACCAUGCAGCUUGCUAGUGAGUUCUUAUUCCAUUUAGUAUUAUGAUAAUGCUAUAAAAUUCACAGAUAUUAAAAUAUGCAUAGGGAGACAACUUCACAUUUAUAUGUUUUCAAUAAACAUGGAACAAUUUGGAUAAAGAACCACAAAUAAUGGAGCUAAGGAACCAGGUGAGAUUUUCUGAACCACUUGGCGGCAGCUAAGGAAAAACUAAACGAGCUCGAGAGACAGAAAGAAGAAACUCUAAAGUUCUACUCCCCUGCAUCGUUAUGCAUAGGCUUCAAGAUGCAAUGAAUGCAACAGAAGAGGAAUCGUAAAUAGUGAACAGGCAGCUUCUUUACGGGGAAAUAGAUAUCGUGGCCUUUGUGCAGAAGUACAAGAAGCUACGGACAAGUUACCACUGGCGAGCUCUCAUUCUUCUAGCUGCUAAAACAUCUCCGGUUGGAUGAAGAAAAC